UAGGCCGGCCCAGGUUCGGCCCAUUAUCACCUGACUGACGACUCCAUCACGCUAGGGUUUCCGUGCGGAGUAAGAAGCGCCGAUCUCCAUCUACACAAAAUCAUUGAAUCAUUUUCCUUCAAACUCUGCAUUUCAAGCAAUUUCUGAGUUCAUGCAAGGAAAGGGCGAGAGAAUAUAGGAAUCGAAAUGUGGUUUCCUUUACUUUUCUUCAUUUCCUUGGUAACCAAGCAGGGGUCGGAUUUUACUCAUAACUUGGGAAUGUUAUUGCUGGAAGUUUUGAAAGCUAGGGUUGCUGUUUGAAAGACUUGGAACCAUUCCAAGCUUGGAUUAUAGCUAAGACUGAAUUUUGUUAGAUUGAUGGUGAUUGAUCUUUGGGAACGUUUUCUUCUGUAAAAAUAGAUUUAGUUUGAAUUGUAAGGUUUUCAUAACUGAGGAUUGGGGAAUACGGAAAAAAGCCACUUUACUUAAAAUUCACACUUUACUUCUCAACUGUGAUGCAGAGUGAUGCACCUCGUCAAUUCCAGACUGAGAGCUGAAGCUGCUCUUCUCUUCAGUCUCACCCAAAUCUCUCAUUUCACAUUGCAAUUACUUUAAUGCCACCCUCACCUGAUUGGAUGAUUGUGGCAAAAAGUUCAAUGGCAUGAAUGGAGUCGGAAAAGUAGUGAUUGUGGAAUGUUUGUAAUCAAAUAUGUUGAAUACUUGAUGCACAAUCAUCUAUUCAAUUCACUAAUUGGGGGCUUGUAUGAAUUGGUUUCUGGAGAAAAUGUCAGCAGAGUUAUUCUAUUUGAAAGAUUUGCCUAUGUAAUUAAUUCAUAUAAACUUAAUGAUUCACAUUUUGAUAAAUGUAGUUGGACUUUUUGAUAUGUGUAGUUGGACAUUUUGAUAUAUGUGGUUGAACAUUGUAAUAUAUGUAGUUAGACAUUUUGAUAGAUAUUAAUAUAAAUUUAAAUGUAGCUUCA
This is a long non-coding RNA of Vitis riparia (riverbank grape), 959 nucleotides long. RefSeq lists it as uncharacterized. The transcript is spliced from 4 exons. NCBI's taxonomy places the organism in Eukaryota, Viridiplantae, Streptophyta, Magnoliopsida, Vitales, Vitaceae. The record is from RefSeq and is a predicted model, not a curated record.